GAUGAAGAACGCAGCGAAAUGCGAUAAGUAGUGUGAAUUGCAGAAUUCAGUGAAUCAUCGAAUCUUUGAACGCACAUUGCGCCCUUUGGUAUUCCUUAGGGCAUGCCUGUUCGAGCGUCAUUUAAACCUUCAAGCUCAGCUUGGUGUUGGGUGACUGUCCGCUUCACCGCGGACUCGCCUCAAAAUUAUUGGCGGCCGGUACAUUGGCUCUCGAGCGCAGCAGAAACGCGUAACUCGAGGUCCUCGUGCUGGCUCCCAGAAGCUAUCUUCACAAUUUUGACCUCGGAUCAGGUAGGGAUACCCGCUGAACUUAAGCAUAUCAAUAAGCGAAGGA
This 334-nucleotide unclassified non-coding RNA is filed under the name soil metagenome. RNAcentral describes it as "partial contains 5.8S ribosomal RNA, internal transcribed spacer 2, and large subunit ribosomal RNA". The stretch from base 1 to 120 matches the Rfam family "5.8S ribosomal RNA", at positions 35 to 154 of the family's 154-position model. The record is from RNAcentral.